RNAcentral lists this long non-coding RNA (727 nucleotides) under Capra hircus (goat). RNAcentral describes it as "lncRNA (ENSCHIG00000001365.1)". The record is from RNAcentral. Lineage: Eukaryota; Metazoa; Chordata; Mammalia; Artiodactyla; Bovidae.
UAGGUAUGGCAGAACUCCCAUGUCUAUGAGUUUCCUGACAAAUAUACUACUUUUAUUAUUUGUAUAUACAUUUCUGUAUCUAUGAGCAGCAUUUGGUGAUGGUCUUCUGUCUGUCCUUUGCCAGUGAGAAUGUUGACUCCAAGAAUGAGGUGUAUUAUUUCUUCCCCGUCUGCAGCUUUGAUCUCUCCACGCUUUGUAAUGAUAGAGCCAUCCUCUAUGUGAAGCAGUCCAGGAAUGUCUGCUUUAUUUCUUGCACAGAGAGAACAUGAUGUCAAUAGAGAGCAAAGGGCCAGAAGGACUGUGCAGGAAAGAAAACACUGAGGCCAGUGUGCUGGGACGUCAAGGCCUAAAAUCUGAAGAUUCUUCUUCCAGAGUUUUUAGUCACUCACAAAACAGAUGUCAUUUUUGAAAAUGCCGAAUUGCAAAAUACACAAAAAAAUCAGCAUCCUUCAAGAAUACUGUUGUGCUUUCUUCUCAUUUGCUGGAAGCCGAGCUUCGCCAGAUCCGGAGGACCCUUCUCUGGGAGAUGAGGUUGAAGCUCAGGGAUGCAGCCAUAAGGAUGGUGGGAAGUGAUAAGACACAUGCCGCUGCUGAAACCAAAUGGGAGUCCGGAUAAGUGGAGGAAAACUACAGGAGACUCCGAGGGUGUCUGCAGCAUAUGGAGCUAUCCCAGAAAGGUGGCACCCUGUAUACCAAUCGUCUUCCUUCCCACUUUGAUAUUAAAAAU